Pseudopipra pipra is the source of this 340-nucleotide long non-coding RNA. RefSeq lists it as uncharacterized. NCBI's taxonomy places the organism in Eukaryota, Metazoa, Chordata, Aves, Passeriformes, Pipridae. The transcript has 3 exons. The record is from RefSeq and is a predicted model, not a curated record.
CACCAGCAAGAGAAUCCUGGUUCCCAAGGUGAUUGCUGCAGGCUGUCUUGAGGCAUUGCUUUCUUCUGAGUUUCCAAUUUUAAGUACCUGAAAUGACGUGAAGAUAGUUGUUCUGUUGGUCAGCUGCUUCCAGAUAUUGGUCAUGGGUCACUAGAAGAUGAUGUAGCAAUUCUUUCCAGGUGCUUCUCACUUCUUCUACAAUGUAUGAAACAGAGAAUAAGAAUUCCCAAGCAGAUCAAUAAAAGAGAGGUAUACAAUGCUUUUAAUGAUGGUAGUGGAUUUUUCCAGAUGUUAUUCUAAACACACUGACCAUCAUUUGCUGUGAUCCACUGCAGGAAGC